CCCUUAGAUGUUCUGGGCCGCACGCGCGCUACACUGAUGCAUUCAACAAGCCUAGCCUUGACCGAGAGGUCCGGGUAAUCUUUGAAACUGCAUCGUGAUGGGGCUAGAUUAUUGCAAUUAUUAAUCUUCAACGAGGAAUGCCUAGUAAGCGUGAUUCAUCAAAUCGCGUUGAUUACGUCCCUGCCCUUUGUACACACCGCCCGUCGCUCCUACCGAUUGAAUGCUCAGGUGAGCCAUUCGGACCUUCAUCAUGCCGGUUUCCGGUUUUGAUGAGGGAAAGUCUUGCGAACCUUAUCAUUUAGAGGAAGGAGAAGUCGUAACA
Molecule: ribosomal RNA, 322 nt
Filed under: uncultured eukaryote
Lineage: Eukaryota
Description: partial 18S ribosomal RNA
Rfam family: Eukaryotic small subunit ribosomal RNA
Source: RNAcentral